UGGGCUUGACAUCUCGGGGAAAGACCUCGUUUCUGAGGUCUUUCCCCGAGAUGUCAAGCCCAGGUAAGGUUCUUCGCGUUGCGUCGAAUUAAACCACAUGCUCCACCGCUUGUGCGGGCCCCCGUCAAUUCCUUUGAGUUUCAGCCUUGCGGCCGUACUCCCCAGGCGGGGCACUUAAUGCGUUAGCGCCGGCACCCAGGGGGUCGCUCCCCCAGGCACCUAGUGCCCAUCGUUUACGGCGUGGACUAC
RNAcentral lists this unclassified non-coding RNA (249 nucleotides) under uncultured Gemmatimonadaceae bacterium. Its description in RNAcentral is "contains 16S-23S intergenic spacer region". Lineage: Bacteria; Pseudomonadati; Gemmatimonadota; Gemmatimonadia; Gemmatimonadales; Gemmatimonadaceae. The record is from RNAcentral.